CGUAUCACCCAAGACAACUUUACGGAGUUGACGAUUGACGGAGCGAAGCGACGUCAAAGCGUUCAUUAAAGUCGAGUUGGCUUAGGGAUACGUUCGUUGGGUAGGGGAGCGUUCUGUAAGCCUGUGAAGGUGUGUCGUGAGGCAUGCUGGAGGUAUCAGAAGUGCGAAUGCUGACAUAAGUAACGAUAAAGCGGGUGAAAAGCCCGCUCGCCGGAAGACCAAGGGUUCCUGUCCAACGUUAAUCGGGGCAGGGUGAGUCGACCCCUAAGGCGAGGCCGAAAGGCGUAGUCGAUGGGAAACGGGUUAAUAUUCCCGUACUUGGUGUUACUGCGAAGGGGGGACGGAGAAGGCUAUGUUGGCCGGGCGACGGUUGUCCCGGUUUAAGCGUGUAGGUGUGUGUUCCAGGUAAAUCCGGUUCACUUUAACACUGAGGCGUGACGACGAGGCACUACGGUGCUGAAGCAACAAAUGCCCUGCUUCCAGGAAAAGCCUCUAAGCAUCAGGUAACACGAAAUCGU
RNAcentral lists this ribosomal RNA (518 nucleotides) under Salmonella enterica subsp. enterica serovar Typhimurium. Its description in RNAcentral is "partial 23S ribosomal RNA". It matches the Rfam family "Bacterial large subunit ribosomal RNA", at positions 1154 to 1645 of the family's 2925-position model. Lineage: Bacteria; Pseudomonadati; Pseudomonadota; Gammaproteobacteria; Enterobacterales; Enterobacteriaceae. The record is from RNAcentral.